Molecule: ribosomal RNA, 505 nt
Filed under: uncultured bacterium
Lineage: Bacteria
Description: bacterial SSU rRNA
Rfam family: Bacterial small subunit ribosomal RNA
Source: RNAcentral
GAUGAACGCUAGCGAUAGGCCUAACACAUGCAAGUCGAGGGGCAUCACAUGAAGUAGCAAUACGGAUGGUGGCGACCGGCGCACGGGUGAGUAACACGUAUGCAACCUGCCUUCAACAAGGGGAUAACCCGUUGAAAGACGGACUAAUACCCUAUAACACAGGGGUCCCGCAUGGGAAUAUUUGUUAAAGGACAACCGGUUGAAGAUGGGCAUGCGUUCCAUUAGCUAGUUGGCGGGGUAACGGCCCACCAAGGCAACGAUGGAUAGGGGAACUGAGAGGUUUAUCCCCCACACUGGUACUGAGACACGGACCAGACUCCUACGGGAGGCAGCAGUGAGGAAUAUUGGUCAAUGGACGCAAGUCUGAACCAGCCACGUCGCGUGAAGGAAGACGGCCCUACGGGUUGUAAACUUCUUUUAUACGGGAAUAAAGUGCCCCACGCGUGGGGUUUGCAUGUACCGUAUGAAUAAGGAUCGGCUAACUCCGUGCCAGCAGCCGCGGUAA